UUGAACGCUGGCGGCAUGCUUUACACAUGCACGUCGAACGGUAACAGGCCGCAAGGUGCUGACGAGUGGCGAACGGGUGAGUAAUGCAUCGGAACGUGCCCAGUCGUGGGGGAUAACUACUCGAAAGAGUAGCUAAUACCGCAUACGAUCUAUGGAUGAAAGCGGGGGACCGUAAGGCCUCGCGCGAUUGGAGCGGCCGAUGUCAGAUUAGGUAGUUGGUGGGGUAAAGGCUCACCAAGCCAACGAUCUGUAGCUGGUCUGAGAGGACGACCAGCCACACUGGGACUGAGACACGGCCCAGACUCCUACGGGAGGCAGCAGUGGGGAAUUUUGGACAAUGGGCGCAAGCCUGAUCCAGCAAUGCCGCGUGCAGGAAGAAGGCCUUCGGGUUGUAAACUGCUUUUGUACGGAACGAAACGGCUCUGGUUAAUACCCGGGGCUAAUGACGGUACCGUAAGAAUAAGCACCGGCUAACUACGUG
Molecule: ribosomal RNA, 481 nt
Filed under: uncultured bacterium
Lineage: Bacteria
Description: partial 16S ribosomal RNA
Rfam family: Bacterial small subunit ribosomal RNA
Source: RNAcentral